Non-coding RNA from Pangasius djambal, 75 nucleotides. NCBI's taxonomy places the organism in Eukaryota, Metazoa, Chordata, Actinopteri, Siluriformes, Pangasiidae. The record is from the annotation of a GenBank genome assembly.
UCCAUGGUGGAAUAGUGGAGAUUAGUAUGCGGCGCUCUCAUCUCCACGACCCCGGUUUGAAUCCCGGUCAGGGAA